CCUACGGGAGGCAGCAGUGAGGAAUAUUGGUCAAUGGGCGCGAGCCUGAACCAGCCAAGUAGCGUGAAGGAUGACUGCCCUACGGGUUGUAAACUUCUUUUAUAAAGGAAUAAAGUGAGGCACGUGUGCCUUUUUGUAUGGACUUUAUGAAUAAGGAUCGGCCAACUCCGUUCCAGCCGCCGCGGUAAUACGGAGGAUCCGAGCGUUUUCCGGAUUUAUUGGGUUUAAAGGGAGCGUAGAUGGGUUGUUAAGUCAGUUGUGAAAGUUUGCGGUUCAACCGUAAAAUUGCAAUUGAUACUGGCAGUCUUGAGUACAGUAGAGGUAGGCGGAAUUCGUGGUGUAGCGGUGAAAUGCUUAGAUAUCACGAAGAACUCCGAUUGCGAAGGCAGCUUACUAAACUGCCACUGACAUUGAGGCUCGAAAGUGUGGGUAUCAAACAGGAUUAGAUACCCCAGUAGUC
This 460-nucleotide ribosomal RNA is filed under the name uncultured bacterium. Its description in RNAcentral is "partial 16S ribosomal RNA". It matches the Rfam family "Bacterial small subunit ribosomal RNA", at positions 338 to 795 of the family's 1533-position model. The record is from RNAcentral.